Molecule: long non-coding RNA, 3945 nt
Organism: Rhipicephalus sanguineus (brown dog tick)
Lineage: Eukaryota; Metazoa; Arthropoda; Arachnida; Ixodida; Ixodidae
Exons: 3
Source: RefSeq, a predicted model, not a curated record
UCACAGUGGGGAACGUGGAUCGGUGUAGCCACCGGCCUGUAUAGUGUAUCUCACGAGGCGACCCAUCGGUCUUUGCAGCGCGCCAAAGAGUGCAGGCAAUAUCCACAAGGCUAUGACGACCACGGCGCAGCUACUGCUGGCGGUUCUGCUCGUCCGGGUGGCCUGGUGUCGUCCGCCGAGCCAGCCUUCGUCCACGGCGUUGCCAGUGACGCUUCGCCAUGACGAGAUAGGCGAUUGUCUAUGGGGAACUCAUGUGCGCAAGCGUUGCCAGGACUGUGCUGUGCUGACCAAGAGCUCUAAAGCGUACCGCAUGUGCUGUUUCGACGACCCUGGAAACAGCACUGAGUCCGUGCGUGCCUAUUGUGAGCGUUUGCUGGACUACACCGUCUGAAGAAUUCUCACGUCGGACCCGACGAUAAAUUUCUCAUGGAUCUGGGCAUUGAGAGAAAGAGAGCUGUGUUACGCUUUUAGACUCUGACAAAAUGUGUGCGCAGUUGUGUCACAAAUGACUCACGUUCCACAUGUUUCGUUCUCAACGUCACUCAUUAGAACCGAUACGCGGCAUCGUAUCACGGGACAUGUCGCCAUAACGGUACGCGGUGUUAGGCACCUGGUGUGACCUUUGUGGAAACACAGAACGCGUUCGGUACCUCGUCUUUCAAGGGUAUUUUUUUUAUUUCAUCUCUCGGCGUUCCUUCAACUUCGUAGAAUAAUAAUUGUUGGGGCUUUACGUCCCAAAACCACGAUAUGGUUAUGAGGGCUCCGGAAAUUUCGACCACCUGGGGUUCUUUAACGUGCACAUAAAUGCAAGUACACGAGCCUCUUGGAUUUUGCUUCCAUCGAGAUGCGGUCGCCGCGGCCGGGAUCCGAUCCCGCGAAAUUUCGUAGACUUCAUUAUACACGUACUGUUCGCCUGCAUUUUCGCUCAGCAUAUCAGACGAUCAGACAAAACGGUAAUUGGCACAGGGAUGUCAAACCAUAGACUGCACUUACUUUAGGAACCUUGUUUUGAGAACACCAAAGUUCUUCAUGUUUUUUCGGGUUACUUAUUGCGCUGCUAAAUAAAAAAAAACGCUUCAGAUCUUUUUUCAUAUCGCCGCGAGCUCAGAGCUCUGCAUAAAAUGGGAGCUAUUUGAUUUCCAAGAACAUGUGACAACUUGUACGAGCUUGACUGCACUAUGUAUGCGCAUCUGCUAAAGAUAGUGCGCAAGAAGCAAGAAAGAAAUGGAAAUUAUGUAUAGAACGCCGUACAUGUGCGUCUGCCUCAAUGGCACUAGCCAUCUAUUUCAGUGCGUUAACAUUCCGAUACCGUCUAGUCAGAACCUCACCAUCCUGGCAGUGUAUCGGACACCGUUUUUCUCUCCCCAAAUUCUGCCCCAUUCCGCCGUAGUCGUGAAAAGUAGAGUAACUCGGAUAACAUGGCGGAGCUUUAGAACUUCUGAUCUGGACACUUAUGGAGCCGGCUACUCUGUGGAGCACUUCACAUUUCGUUCUUCGGUCUUCGUUCAGUUUCAGAGUGAUGAUGCCUCGAAGUGCUGCGAGGCCAUGUUUUUAAAGGGGUUUUCGAACAACCUCACUCUCGGCGCUUAUUGCCCCGCGAAUCGACUGCCGCAAAAAUGCUUAGAACGCGUCAAGUGCCAGCGGAGUUACGGGGAUUUUGUCGCGCGCAUUAAUUAAAAGCUUUUUUUUUUCCUCUCCUAUCGUCGAGAUGAGUGCGCUGAAAGCCACACGUGGGGCAGUGACAAGGACGCGAGAACCUACGUCAGCGCGCGCUCACGAACUUCAGCGCGUUUCGUUUUCUCUCGGAAUGCGUCGCCUCAUUUUAGGUGUAAUCGAAAGCGUGCUAGUAUCGCUGCUCUAUAAUCCUAACACACUACAGAUCGCAGUGCUAGCACGUGACGGCGCCCCGUGGCAAUCGCGGUAACUGUGCAGCACAAGCAAUGCUCAAAUCGGCCAAUGGCCGCGACGUUCCCUCCAUUGUCGUAGUCACGCCACUCGAUGACGUAAUAAGGGCGAGCAAUUUCUAGCUGCCUCUCAAACGUAAUUGCAGAUUCCCUGCUUAGCCGAAGGGGUACAAUGCUUGGCUCGCACGUUCACAGAAGCCUCGAAUACCGGUCGGCAGCGUUUUCUGACCAUGUUCGAAAACUGUUGCAGGGUCGUUAAGUAGUUGCACUAACCGGACAAAAGACAGCUAACGAGGAGAAACACUGAGAAUGUUAAAGCUCCGUUCAUGGUUACUUAAGAUAGUUAAGCUAACUGCGGAAGCUUAGAAUUUUGUAAAAUAAUAUUACUGAAGGUUUUGUAGAAAUUCAAGAACAGUUCCAUCAGAAGCGAGCAAAUAUUUGUCUCUUUCGCAGUAUAAAUAAUGGGAGCAAUUUGACUAGACGUCUUCACUAAGAAGGACGUAUGUCGCUUACGAACGAACACAAUUUGCCUUCUCCCAGGCUGUCGCUGGAAAAGUAAGAAAGCUAUGCUGGCUUCUGGGUAUUCGUAUUGCUAAUUAUCAUCAUGAAAAGCCGCGCUCGUGGCUGUUGGCUGCACGACAGAAGGCAGAGAAAACCUCUAUCGGUGCAUCGAUCGUUAUUGAUGACAGUCGGAUGGAGGCCGUCUAGUCCUUGGAUUUCACUGGUCGUUUAUGUUCCUCUCAUCACCCGGUCCGCUGAGCCACGUCAGAGCAUCACUGGCCGCGCCCUCAUACGGCGCAUUGUGCUAGUUUAAAGGUGCCGUACGUCGAAACAUCUGAAAACAUCGCGAGUCUGAGCUAGUGAAGGCGUUGUCGAGUGCUUUUUAUACGUUUAUUGCGUAGAUUUGUUUCGCGAUAUGGGAACUGAAUUCAACAUUGAGCCGAAAUGUGAAUACGGCUAAAUAUGAUGCUUUGUAGAAGAGUGAAAAUUCGCCAGUGAAUGAUUUCUUUCCUUCGAUUUCAAGAUUGCGAAAUCAAUAAAGCAAUCUCGACAGUUAUGCAGCUUUGCAGUGUAGAUACCAAAAAGCAGUUCACGGUAGCUUCACAGAGUGGCCAGCAACAAGCUUCCGUUUGUAUCCGUUUAUGCAAACGAAAUUGUGAAGGCUUCGCUAAUGAGCGCUGUUUAGUUCUGUGCAAGCAAGUGCUAGUGGACCGUUGCGAAACGGAAAAUGCUGCAGCAUAGACGAGUUGAGCAAACUACAAGCAGCUUUUCUGCACAACAAAAACCCAUGCGCAAUGGCGGUGCCUUCCGCCCCCGCUGCAAUUGCUGUGUACAAUAUCGUUUUCAGUGUUUCAUCAUGGCCGGACCAUAGGUGUGUCUCUCCGCCUCCCAUUGUGCAUGAAUAUUUGUUGUGUCAAUACGAAUAUUUGUUGCGCGAACAUGAAUAUUUGUUGUGCAGGUAAGCUGCCGUGUAGUUCUUACAACUGGUUUAUAGCCCAUUUUCUAGAGAAAAUGUUGGGGUUGUCACACUUGAAAUAUGCUGUUGUAUCUGCUGAGUUACCCAUUUCAUGCGUUCGUGGAGUGAGUAAGAGCCAAUCGAGCCGUGAACUUCUAGCAAUAUUCACUGUCAGUGCACUAAUGUUGUAAAUAGUAAGCGCAGAAAAAGAGCCUCUGCCAUUGCCUUCACUGCAUUAUUUUUUAUAAUAAGGACGUUAAAAUACUUAGAAAACACGUCUUAUUAUAAACACCUUCACAUUCAAAUCAUUUCAAUACUAGUUUGUUCAAAACCAUGUUUGUCUUGAUCUUUCGCAGAAAAUGCUAUUUUUGUAUUCAGAGCUGAGCGUUAUCAAUGCAACCUCACUGUGUGCCGUCGUUCUAAGUGGUCAGAAGAUAUUGCAUUAAAUGUUUUACUCUAUAUUUUAUGUUUUUAGAGCAUGUAAAUUAUUUAUUGUUAAUUAUUUAUUGCGAUAAUACUGCCGUGGGUUUCACGCAGUUCUACUGCGCUGAACUCAGAAUAUUGUGAUAAGUAUGGCUAUAAAUA